GGAUAAUGCAGAUAAGGGAAUUCGGCAAAUUAGAUCCGUAACUUCGGGAAAAGGAUUGGCUCUGAGGAUUGGAUUCAAGGGCCCAUUCAUGAAAGCUUAGCUGUCUUGGAACUGCGGAGGCAACGAAGUGGCUCCAGGAUAGCGAACGCUGGAAUGGGUGGGACGUCUUCAUCGGCUUUCCUUGAAUAAUUAACAAUUAACUCAGAACUGAAGCGGACAAGGGGAAUCCGACUGUUAAUAAAAACAUAGCAUUGUGAUGGCCUGAAAAGGUGUUGACACAAUGUGAAUUCUGCCCAGUGCUUUGAAUGUCAAAAGUGAAGAAAUUCAACCAAGCGCAGGUAAACGGCGGGAGUAACUAUGACUCUCUUAAGGUAGCCAAAUGCCUCGUCAUCUAAUUAGUGACGCGCAUGAAUGGAUCAAUGAGAUUCCCACUGUCCCUAUCUGCUACCUAGCGAAACACACAGCCAAGGGAACAGGCUUGGAAUAAUCAGC
This 492-nucleotide ribosomal RNA is filed under the name uncultured eukaryote. RNAcentral describes it as "eukaryotic LSU rRNA". It matches the Rfam family "Eukaryotic large subunit ribosomal RNA", at positions 1893 to 2398 of the family's 3401-position model. The record is from RNAcentral.